RNAcentral lists this long non-coding RNA (2984 nucleotides) under Homo sapiens (human). Its description in RNAcentral is "HSALNT0303677". Lineage: Eukaryota; Metazoa; Chordata; Mammalia; Primates; Hominidae. The record is from RNAcentral.
AGGGCAGAACUUAGCUACUGAGUUCUACCGAAGGCCAGGAUCUGAGUCAAGCACCAAGGUUAACUCCCAGGGAAGCCAAAUGUUCAUAAAAGGAAAUCUUUCCAAAUCACAAAUAUCAGGGCCUGCUAGGUAAAUUCUAGCUUCUCUGUGCCAAGGGCUGUGUUCCUACUCUCAAGCGCCACUCACUGACUGUCUGGGUGGUGCUGUGGGCUUCUGUACUUUUAGCUUCAUCAGCUGCACCUGUCCUCUUUUCCCAUAAGACGCCAGGACCCUCAGAAUCUUCCCUCUUACCAGAAAUUUGGGUUUUGGGCUGGGUCCCUGGACCGAAUUCUGACACUCUAAGUGUUUGCAGACUAUUUUGAUAGAGGUAGUGAUUAUGAUGCCAGAAAAGUGAAGCCAGUUUUUAUUAGAAUGUUGGCCAUCUUGAAUAAUCCAUUCCCCCACUUCCAUGGGACAUCUUCAAAGAGAUUUUUAAAAGACAAAUAUGAUCUCUACUAAUGAGAUAUCUUCAGAAGGUAGAAUUAAAGCAAAAUUAAUGUACACAGAAUUCCUAUUUCAAUAUAUUUAUUAUUCACAACAUUUCUACACACACACACACACACACACACACGCAUACACACACACACACACACAUUCCUGCACAGGUAAUUUAUAGUGGCUAAUCCACUCAGUACUGUGGACUUUGGUUUUAGAGAGCAUUGUUUUCAAGGGUAGUACAGAUAAUCUGCCUCCAACAUAUUCUAUUCUUAGGGCUCUAAAGUCAAAGGAGUUUGUACAGACCCCUCCCUGCUAAGGUAAUUAUGUCCUCUUCAUAUCUUGCAUGAAUGUUUGCUCUUAGAGUGAUGAUCUGAAAUAUCAACAUCCUGCAGGACCUAGUCUGGUCUGGAAGAAGAAGAGAUAUGUCAUCUCUAUGGGCUUUGAUCUUGGUAGGCAUAUUUAUUCACCAGGUACACAAAUGCAACUUUAAACCCUCAGCCACAUUUAGUAAACUAUUUCUUCAUCUGUUGCAGUCUUAUUCUGAUGGGAAAAAUUUCCUCUGUUUUUCAAGUUUAAUUUAUUAUUUUUUCAAAUUACAAGAGCAAUGCAUAUUAUUGUAACCAGAGAGAUAAUGCCAAGAUCGGUAGAGAAAAACUUAAUAAUCUCGACCUCCUAUAACCAUCUCUCUUCCCAUCCCCCUGAGGUAAUAGCAAAUGUUAACAGCCUGCUACCUCUGCACAUCUUCCUUCCUUCAUGAUUUCCCUACACACACACCCAUACACACACGUGCGCAUGCACACACACACCCACUCAAACACACGGUGUACGUCCAGGAGUCAGAAGUGGCUACAGAGAUGGAGUCUUCAUUAUUAAGAGUAAAACAACAGAAGCCUGUAUUUUGACCAGAGGCCUGGAAUCUACUACUUUGUGAAUUAGCUAAGCAGCCCCAGUUGAACGUGAACCAGCCUGGAACAGAGUGGACUGCAGAGGCAAUAAACAAGGAUGUCGUGAAGACCCUGUUUCUUUCUAGCGUGGCAUCCCAGGAUAAAAUAUACAAUUAAUAGAUACUGGAAGGCACACUUUCUGAUUAUGGAGAAACCAUCAAAUUUGGCCAUGGUUUUGCAUAGGGGCUAGGUUGGAAAUUCAACUAGAACAAUUUAAUGUCUACUGGCAAAGCUUCUUAAUUAUGGAAUGAAAGCUACCUCAAAGUGCCUGGAGGCUUGAGCUGAAUGGUGAGAUCUUCAUUGACCUGACCUCCUCUGUGCUGAAGUUUGCUGACUUGAGGAGACCUCCCCUAAGAACAGACCCUCCCCUCAGGGCUGCCUUCAGCGAUGAUGAUUGACGCUGGCAAGUCAGUCAAGUGGGAAGUUUGCAGCACACACGGCUCAAAGGACUCACCCAGUUUGCCCUGUUGGAGGAUGUUAACCUUUGCACACUAUUUUUGACAUUUAAUUUUUCCUUCCAUUUAGUGCAUGACUCUUUUUUUGUCUUUCUAGUAAAUUCAUUUAGUUAGUAUUAUUCUUUGCCUAUUUUGUCUUUUAAACUUCUGGUUUUUAAUCUUUCGUAUUUUAUAUUAUUUAUUCUUGGUGUUCAUGCUUCUUAUUCUCUUUUCUGCUAUUUUAUCUUAUUGUUGUGAUAAUAGUAUAUUUGCAGUAAGCUCCUUUUACUAACUUCAUUUAUUUCUACAUAAUGUUUUAUCUGGCUUUGACCACAACUAUAUAAGGGGACAGCAAAGUGGAGCCACAAAUGGGAAGAUUGUGAAGAGGGCCCUUGACCAAAUAAAGAGGAAACCUUUUCCCUGAAGAGGACUUUUCAGCAACCCAACUAAUUCACUCAUUUUUCUCAAAGUUGAAUUUUCUUCCACAAAAACCCCUUGACUUUGUUAUUGAGUAGAUCCUCAGGCCUAGGAAAAUAAUGUCUACAUCGACCAAGGAGAUAUCUGAACUACCAGUACUUCCUGCAGCAUCUUUGUUUUGGUUGGCCUGGGCAGGUGGUGGGGCACGGGGGUGAAGGGAGGGGUCUGAGGUGGGUAGAAAACAAGGGUAUCCCCAGGGCUAUGGGAGGAAGGUCUAGUGGACUGGAACCAUUGUAUCUGUCGAUUAGUGGAGGCAAUCAUAUUUGUGAUCCUUGAGCUAAUGGUCUAGUAAGACUAUAAACUUGUUCAUAAUUAAAGCUGGCAAGAGGGUUCUUACCCCAGGUAAUGAGACAAGAGUGAACCACAGGAGGAAGCCAGCACAGAGACCGUAUGUAAUGAGUCCCUUCAUGGGAAAGGGAUGGAAAACAGUCCUCAGGCUAGCAGCAGAGGGAGUGCUGUCUGUUGUGGGUCUUGACCUGCUUAAGAGGUCUGACUUGAGGUGAGGCUGAAAGACAGCCCCGCUGGGGGCUUCAAGAUAACGAUGGACGGAUAGAGUUCUCUCACCGCUGAAUAUCUCCUAAGGCAUUAGUAAAACACUAUUUAAAUAUUUCCUCUGUAACUCAGUUGUGCUAUUAAAGCUCUGUUUCUCAAA